CACGUAGGGGGCGAGCGUUGUUCGGAAUUACUGGGCGUAAAGGGCAUGUAGGCGGUCUUGUAAGCCUGACGUGAAAGGCUAUGGCUUAACCAUGGCAUUGCGUUGGGAACUGCGGGACUUGAAUCACGGAGGGGGAACUGGAAUUCCAGGUGUAGGGGUGAAAUCUGUAGAUAUCUGGAAGAACACCAGUGGCGAAGGCGAGUUCCUGGCCGAUGAUUGACGCUGAGGUGCGAAAGUGUGGGGAUCAAACAGGAUUAGAGACCCUGGUAGUCCACACUGUCAACGAUGUGCACUAGGUGCUGGGGCGGAUGUUUCAGUGCCGGAGCUAACGCGGUAAGUGCACCGCCUGGGGAGUAUGCUCGCAAGGGUGAA
RNAcentral lists this ribosomal RNA (372 nucleotides) under uncultured bacterium. Its description in RNAcentral is "bacterial SSU rRNA". It matches the Rfam family "Bacterial small subunit ribosomal RNA", at positions 524 to 898 of the family's 1533-position model. The record is from RNAcentral.